This 439-nucleotide ribosomal RNA is filed under the name uncultured bacterium. RNAcentral's name for it is "partial 16S ribosomal RNA". It matches the Rfam family "Bacterial small subunit ribosomal RNA", at positions 339 to 795 of the family's 1533-position model. The record is from RNAcentral.
CUACGGGGUGCACCAGUGGGGAAUAUUGCACAAUGGAGGAAACUCUGAUGCAGCAACGCCGCGUGGAGGAUGACACUUUUCGGAGCGUAAACUCCUUUUAUAUAGGAAGAAGAUGACGGUACUAUAUGAAUAAGCGCCGGCUAACUCCGUGCCAGCAGCCGCGGUAAUACGGAGGGCGCAAGCGUUACUCGGAAUCACUGGGCGUAAAGAGCGUGUAGGCGGAUUAAAAAGUCAGAAGUGAAAUCCUAUAGCUUAACUAUAGAACUGCUUCUGAAACUCUUAAUCUAGAAUAUGGGAGAGGUAGAUGGAAUUUCUGGUGUAGGGGUAAAAUCCGUAGAGAUCAGAAGGAAUACCGAGUGCGAAGGCGAUCUACUAGAACAUUAUUGACGCUGAGACGCGAAAGCGUGGGGAGCAAGCAGGAUUAGAUACCCGUGUAGUC